Dromiciops gliroides (monito del monte) is the source of this 104-nucleotide small nuclear RNA. The record is from RefSeq and is a predicted model, not a curated record. NCBI's taxonomy places the organism in Eukaryota, Metazoa, Chordata, Mammalia, Microbiotheria, Microbiotheriidae.
GUGCUCGAUUCAGCAGCACAUACACUAAAAUUGGAAGGAUACAGAGAUUAGCAUGACUCCUGCACAAGGAUGACACGCAAAUUCGUGAAACAGUAAAGGAGAUG